GGAUUAGAUACCCUGGUAGUCCACACCGUAAACGAUGUGUGCUAGUUGUUGGGCAGUUUACUGUUCGGUGACGCAGCUAACGCAUUAAGCACACCGCCUGGGGAGUACGGCCGCAAGGUUAAAACUCAAAGGAAUUGACGGGGACCCGCACAAGCGGUGGAGCAUGUGGUUUAAUUUGACGCAACGCGGAGAACCUUACCAGCCCUUGACAUCCUGGUCGCGAGGAGUGGAGACACACCUUUUCAGUUCGGCUGGACCAGUGACAGGUGGUGCACGGCUGUCGUCAGCUCGUGCCG
RNAcentral lists this ribosomal RNA (296 nucleotides) under uncultured bacterium. Its description in RNAcentral is "partial 16S ribosomal RNA". It matches the Rfam family "Bacterial small subunit ribosomal RNA", at positions 775 to 1067 of the family's 1533-position model. The record is from RNAcentral.